GACGAACGCCGGCGGCGUGCCUAAUACAUGCAAGUUGAGCGCUUCUUUCUUAUCGAACUUCGGUUCACCAAGAAAGAAGAGUAGCGAACGGGUGAGUAACACGUGGGUAACCUGCCCAUCAGUGGGGGAUAACACUUGGAAACAGGUGCUAAUACCGCAUAAUACUUUUUCUCUCAUGAGUGAAAGUUGAAAGGCGCUUUUGCGUCACUGAUGGAUGGACCCGCGGUGCAUUAGCUAGUUGGUAGGGUAACGGCCUACCAAGGCAACGAUGCAUAGCCGACCUGAGAGGGUGAUCGGCCACACUGGGACUGAGACACGGCCCAGACUCCUACGGGAGGCAGCAGUAGGGAAUCUUCGGCAAUGGACGAAAGUCUGACCGAGCAACGCCGCGUGAGUGAAGAAGGUUUUCGGAUCGUAAAACUCUGUUGUUAGAGAAGAACAAGGAUGAGAAGAGAAUGUUCAUCCCUUGACGGUAUCUAACCAGAAAGCCACGGCUAACUACGUGCCAGCCGCCGCAGUAA
Molecule: ribosomal RNA, 521 nt
Filed under: uncultured bacterium
Lineage: Bacteria
Description: partial 16S ribosomal RNA
Rfam family: Bacterial small subunit ribosomal RNA
Source: RNAcentral